AUUGAACGCUGGCGGCAGGCCUAAUACAUGCAAGUCGAACGGUAACAUAAGAAAGCUUGCUUUCUUGAUGACGAGUGGCGGACGGGUGAGUAAUAUUUGGGAAGCUACCUGAUAGAGGGGGACAACAGUUGGAAACGACUGCUAAUACCGCAUAAAGCCUGAGGGUGAAAGCAGCAAUGCGCUAUCAGAUGCGCCCAAAUGGGAUUAGCUAGUAGGUGAGGUAAAGGCUCACCUAGGCGACGAUCUCUAGCUGGUCUGAGAGGAUGAUCAGCCACAUUGGGACUGAGACACGGCCCAGACUCCUACGGGAGGCAGCAGUAGGGAAUAUUGCACAAUGGGGGAAACCCUGAUGCAGCCAUGCUGCGUGUGUGAAGAAGGCCUUCGGGUUGUAAAGCACUUUCGGAGGGGAGGAACAAAUGACGUUACCCUCAGAAGAAGCACCGGCUAACUCCGUGCCAGCCGCCGCAGUAA
Molecule: ribosomal RNA, 471 nt
Filed under: uncultured bacterium
Lineage: Bacteria
Description: partial 16S ribosomal RNA
Rfam family: Bacterial small subunit ribosomal RNA
Source: RNAcentral